ACCCUAGUGAUGCAAUGGGUCCAUGUGUCUGGCUGUUAACCAGAAGGCUGGUAGUUCAAGCCCACCCAGGGAUG
Molecule: transfer RNA, 74 nt
Filed under: Podarcis lilfordi (Lilford's wall lizard)
Lineage: Eukaryota; Metazoa; Chordata; Lepidosauria; Squamata; Lacertidae
Rfam family: tRNA
About the family: Transfer RNA (tRNA) molecules are approximately 80 nucleotides in length. Their secondary structure includes four short double-helical elements and three loops (D, anti-codon, and T loops). Further hydrogen bonds mediate the characteristic L-shaped molecular structure. tRNAs have two regions of fundamental functional importance: the anti-codon, which is responsible for specific mRNA codon recognition, and the 3' end, to which the tRNAs corresponding amino acid is attached (by aminoacyl-tRNA synthetases). tRNAs cope with the degeneracy of the genetic code in two manners: having more than one tRNA (with a specific anti-codon) for a particular amino acid; and 'wobble' base-pairing, i.e. permitting non-standard base-pairing at the 3rd anti-codon position.
Source: Rfam by way of RNAcentral